AUACGGAAGGUCCGGGCGUUAUCCGGAUUUAUUGGGUUUAAAGGGAGCGCAGGCGGAGAUGCAAGCGUGACGUCAAAUUUCGGGGCUCAACCCCGUCUCGCGUCGCGAACUGCGUCCCUUGGUUGCGGGAAGGGGAGGCGGAACUCGUGGUGUAGCGGUGAAAUGCAUAGAUAUCACGAAGAACUCCGAUCGCGAAGGCAGCCUUCCGGCCCGUCAACGACGCUCAUGCUCGAAGGUGCGGGUAUCAAACAGGAUUAGAUACCCUGGUAGUCCGCACAGUAAACGAUGGACACCCGCGGUUUGGCCUAUAUGGCUGAGCCGCCAAGCGAAAGCGUUAAGUGUCCCACCUGGGGAGUACGCCGGCAACGGUAAAACUCAAAGGAAUUGACGGGG
This 393-nucleotide ribosomal RNA is filed under the name uncultured bacterium. Its description in RNAcentral is "partial 16S ribosomal RNA". It matches the Rfam family "Bacterial small subunit ribosomal RNA", at positions 523 to 918 of the family's 1533-position model. The record is from RNAcentral.